RNAcentral lists this transfer RNA (71 nucleotides) under Paulasterias sp. SS-2022. RNAcentral describes it as "tRNA-Ala". It matches the Rfam family "tRNA". From Rfam's summary of the family: Transfer RNA (tRNA) molecules are approximately 80 nucleotides in length. Their secondary structure includes four short double-helical elements and three loops (D, anti-codon, and T loops). Lineage: Eukaryota; Metazoa; Echinodermata; Asteroidea; Forcipulatida; Paulasteriidae. The record is from RNAcentral.
GUGAAUUUAGUUUAAAGAAAAAACGUCUGCUUUGCAUGUAUAAGAUAAAGGUUUAAAUCCUCUAAUUCACA